AUGGAUUGUAAUGGGAGCUGAUGCUGUGUGGCCAAAUUUUCUUUGACUACAAUGUGCUCGCUUCUAGCAACAUUUUUUCUAAACACCUGUGCACCUUGUGGGGGGGAAUUAUCUUUUCCCCCUUCUCUCACAAACAUUUUUCAAUGUUGAAUGUUCAUUGUGCCUAAUGCAUGGCCUUAAUAAAAUAUAAUA
This 192-nucleotide unclassified non-coding RNA is filed under the name uncultured Clavulina. RNAcentral's name for it is "sequence contains ITS1". The record is from RNAcentral. Lineage: Eukaryota; Fungi; Basidiomycota; Agaricomycetes; Cantharellales; Hydnaceae.